Molecule: ribosomal RNA, 20 nt
Filed under: Misgurnus anguillicaudatus (oriental weatherfish)
Lineage: Eukaryota; Metazoa; Chordata; Actinopteri; Cypriniformes; Cobitidae
Source: RNAcentral
AUACCGGGUGCUGUAAGCAU